RNAcentral lists this ribosomal RNA (253 nucleotides) under uncultured bacterium. Its description in RNAcentral is "partial 16S ribosomal RNA". It matches the Rfam family "Bacterial small subunit ribosomal RNA", at positions 524 to 776 of the family's 1533-position model. The record is from RNAcentral.
UACGGAGGGGGCUAGCGUUGUUCGGAAUUACUGGGCGUAAAGCGCGCGUAGGCGGCCAUUUAAGUCAGAGGUGAAAGCCCGGUGCUCGACAUCGGAAUAGCCUUUGAGACUGGGUGGCUAGAAUCCAGGAGAGGUGAGUGGAAUUCCGAGUGUAGAGGUGAAAUUCGUAGAUAUUCGGAAGAACACCAGUGGCGAAGGCGGCUCACUGGACUGGUAUUGACGCUGAGGUGCGAAAGCGUGGGGAGCAAACAGG